AUGGAUGAAUAUUAUAAUAAUAUUGAAGUGUAUUAAAAUGAAAUUUUAAAUUCAUUUUGGUAGUUGUGUAAUUUGAAUAUAUUGAAGUAUAUAAGUUAUUAUAUAUUGAAUAAUCAAAUGAGCAGAUCUUGGUGGUAGUAACAUAAUAAUUUGUAUUUAUAGAGAUUAGGGUUGUCAUUAUGAUGACGUGAGACGGUGUUAUAAUAAAACGAAUAAUAUUAAUAUUUUAUUAUCUUAUUUAUUAAGUGGUGACACAAACACGGACUAUUAUUUACUUAAAUUAUAAUAUAAAUGAGUUAUAAUUUUUAUGAUGUGAUAGUUGUUAUAAGAUCAUCAUUUUAAUAAUAAUAUGUUAAAAAAGAAAUAAAUAAACCGUACCUAUACCGCAUCAGGUGUCCCUGUUUUAUAACAAAUAUAUUUUAAAAUAAUCUAAGUAAGGGAAUUCGGCAAAAUAGAUCUGUAACUUUGGGAUAAAGAUUGGCUCUAGCAUGCUAGAACUUUUUAUAUUAUGAGAGGAAUCUGACUGUUUAAUAAAAACAUAGCUUUAUGAUAAUGUAAAGUGAAUUCUGCCCAGUGUAUUUAUUAGUUAAAAUAAAAUAAGCAUAUAUAAACGGCGGGAGUAACUAUGACUCUCUUAAGGUAGCCAAAUGCCUCGUCAUUUAAUUGGUGACGCGCAUGAAUGGAGCAACGGGAUUCCUACUGUCCCUAUUUAGAGCUAUGUGAAGCAACGAGACAAGGGAACGGGCUUGUUAUUUAAUCAGCGGGGAAAGAAGACCCUGUUGAGCUUUACUCUAGUAUAUUUUAAUUUAUAUAUAUUAUAUUGUAGAGAGGUGGGAGAUGUAAUGUGAAACCACUAAUAUUAAUAUUAUAUAAAUUUAUUUUUAAUUAUAUGGGGAGUUUGGCUGGGGCGGUACAACUGUUAUAAAGAAACACAGUUGUCCUAAGAUACAAUUAAUUAGGAUAGAAACCUAAUGUUUAGUAUAAGGGUAUAAGUGUGUCUGAUGUAUAAAACAAUAGUUUUAUAUGAUGGGAAACCAUGGCCUAAAGAUCCUCCAAUAAUAAUUUUAUUUGAUUGGAGGUGACAGAAAAGUUACCACAGGGAUAACUGGCUUGUAGCAAAUGAGCGAUCAUAGCGACUUUGCUUUUUGAUUCUUCGAUGUCGUCUCUUCUGAUCAUCGUAGUGUAUAUGUUACGAAGUGUUGGAUUGUUCACCCGUUAAUGAGGAACGUGAGAUGGGUUUAGACCGUCGUGAGACAGGUUAGUUUUACCCUACUGUUAAUAUUAUUAAGAAAAGUUAUAUAGUACGAGAGGAACAAUAAGUGAUGACCACUGGUGUAGCGAUUAAUUAUUCAAUUAUGUUGCAAAACUACGUCAUGAAUAAUAAAUGCUGUAAGCCUCUUAAGCAUGAAGUUAAUCUUAAUGAUAAACAAUUGAGGAAAACUACCUCUUUGAAGAGUGGGACUGUAAGAAUGAAGGUGUAUACCGACAUUUUGAGGUUACCAUUUCGUUCUAUGUAAAAAUUA
RNAcentral lists this ribosomal RNA (1523 nucleotides) under Nosema maddoxi. RNAcentral describes it as "partial large subunit ribosomal RNA gene". It matches the Rfam family "Eukaryotic large subunit ribosomal RNA", at positions 1318 to 3401 of the family's 3401-position model. The record is from RNAcentral. Lineage: Eukaryota; Fungi; Microsporidia; Nosematidae.